RNAcentral lists this ribosomal RNA (431 nucleotides) under uncultured bacterium. RNAcentral's name for it is "bacterial SSU rRNA". It matches the Rfam family "Bacterial small subunit ribosomal RNA", at positions 29 to 507 of the family's 1533-position model. The record is from RNAcentral.
AGCGAACGCUGGCGGCAGGCCUAACACAUGCAAGUCGAACGCAUCGCAAGAUGAGUGGCAGACGGGUGAGUAACGCGUGGGAACCUUCCCAGUGGUGCGGAAUAGCUCAGGGAAACUUGAGGUAAUACCGCAUGAGCCCGCAAGGGGAAAGAUUUAUCGCCAUUGGAUGGGCCCGCGUCGGAUUAGCUAGUUGGUGAGGUAACGGCUCACCAAGGCGACGAUCCGUAGCUGGUUUGAGAGAAUGACCAGCCACACUGGGACUGAGACACGGCCCAGACUCCUACGGGAGGCAGCAGUGGGGAAUAUUGGACAAUGGGCGCAAGCCUGAUCCAGCCAUGCCGCGUGAGUGACGAAGGCCUUAGGGUUGUAAAGCUCUUUUGGCGGGGACGAUAAUGACGGUACCCGCAGAAUAAGCCCCGGCUAACUUCGUG